Molecule: antisense RNA, 81 nt
Filed under: Photobacterium jeanii
Lineage: Bacteria; Pseudomonadati; Pseudomonadota; Gammaproteobacteria; Vibrionales; Vibrionaceae
Description: antisense RNA of dnaA mRNA
Rfam family: antisense RNA of dnaA mRNA
Source: Rfam by way of RNAcentral
UUUGGCAUUGGGUUUACGAUCAGCGAUGGCAUUGCCUACCGCAUGCAAUAAGUGAGUUUUACCUAAACCAGUACCACCGUA